GACGAACGCUGGCGGCGUGCUUAACACAUGCAAGUCGAACGGAAAGGCCCUGCUUUUGUGGGGUGCUCGAGUGGCGAACGGGUGAGUAACACGUGAGUAACCUGCCCUUGACUUUGGGAUAACUUCAGGAAACUGGGGCUAUACCGGAUAGGAGCUCCUGCUGCAUGGUGGGGGGUGGGAAGUUUCGGCGGUUGGGGAUGGACUCGCGGCUUAUCAGCUUGUUGGUGGGGUAGUGGCUUACCAAGGCUUUGACGGGUAGCCGGCCUGAGAGGGUGACCGGCCACAUUGGGACUGAGAUACGGCCCAGACUCCUACGGGAGGCAGCAGUGGGGAAUAUUGCACAAUGGGCGGAAGCCUGAUGCAGCAACGCCGCGUGCGGGAUGACGGCCUUCGGGUUGUAAACCGCUUUCGCCUGUGACGAAGCGUGAGUGACGGUAAUGGGUAAAGAAGCACCGGCUAACUACGUG
This 467-nucleotide ribosomal RNA is filed under the name uncultured bacterium. RNAcentral describes it as "partial 16S ribosomal RNA". It matches the Rfam family "Bacterial small subunit ribosomal RNA", at positions 28 to 507 of the family's 1533-position model. The record is from RNAcentral.